This 370-nucleotide long non-coding RNA is filed under the name Homo sapiens (human). RNAcentral describes it as "non-protein coding lnc-NT5DC2-2:1". The record is from RNAcentral. Lineage: Eukaryota; Metazoa; Chordata; Mammalia; Primates; Hominidae.
GGGCUAGGACCCCUCCCCCGAGCUUACCUCCAGGAUGGUUUCAAAGCGGCUGAAGGCCUCGGUAGAGGCGAGGAUCUGUCCGAUAGUUCUCUGUAAGGAGGGAUGAGUGUGAGGGCCCCAGGGAAGGGGUGAGGCUGCUUCAGCCCAGCGGGGAGAAGCUGCGCUCCAGCCCUGAGUAGAAUGGCUCCUGCCCACUCACUGCUCUCUGCAGGGGUCUGAGAUUACCCAGCAGCACAGGGGAGGGGAGGGGAGGAUGCUGGCUCACCUUGGGAUCCCCAGGGGUCCCAGAGGGGGCCUGCCACCGCAGGCCAGUGACCACGUGGAAGACGCCAUUAGCUGCUAUGUUGUUGGCCUUGUAGAUGUUGAACGU